This is a long non-coding RNA of Monodelphis domestica (gray short-tailed opossum), 1332 nucleotides long. RefSeq lists it as uncharacterized. NCBI's taxonomy places the organism in Eukaryota, Metazoa, Chordata, Mammalia, Didelphimorphia, Didelphidae. The record is from RefSeq and is a predicted model, not a curated record.
UCCCACACACACACAGGCAUGAUUACCCCCAUUUUACAGAUAAAGGAAGUGACACUUAAAAGAUUAAGUGAUCUAAUCAUGGUCAUAGAACUAGGGAUAGCGGUAGCAUUUGAACUUGAGGCUGUCCUUGUCACCCAUUCAACAUUCUUUCCACUGCAGCAGAAAGAAUUAUUUUUCCCCUUUUGAGGGUUAAAUUAAGGAGUUCGACAAAGUGAGGAGAGCAGUUUAACCGUAACUUUGUUGAUUUAAGAAAGAAGUACAGAUAGAAAAGAGAACAGGGAGGUUAUUAAUUGUAUACUCUAUAAAUAUACCUAAAAUUCCUAAUACUGCUUAAAAUUUCCUAAAACUACCUCUGUCUUCUGAGAGGCAUUUCUUCUGCCUGGCGUGCCAGGCCCAUCUUAAUCUACUCUGUCUAUAAAUUAUUCACUGGCUACCUAACUCCCUAAAAUAAUAGGGAUAAAAUAACAGUUGUGCCUAGCAGCUCAAUGGCCUGUAGCCAACUGCCAGCAGAUCCUUGCCUCCGAGGCAGACCUCCUGCUCUCUAGAGAUCCCAGAGGCAAAGGACCUCAACUAUCAGUGGCUGCUUCCAUUCUCCCCUCACUGACCAACUGUCCCCCCUAACUUCCUAUCAGAAGGCUGGCUACUUCCUCCCCUCAGCCCUGGUCUCGCUGGCAAGGGAAUCUUCCACUGUGGCUCACUGACUCCGGCCAGUUCUGAUCUACUUAGAAGUGCUGCUCUCUAAGCCUCUCAAGGAGCCAGAGGGAGAGCUUAAGAGCAUCCCUUUAACACCGUCAGACAUUCUUAAGUCGCUUUGUUGAUACUCAUUUCUGUGAGAUCAUUCAUUAGAAAUCACGACGUUUAAUCAAGAUCCCUUCUCUUUGACUUUGACUUCCAUAGAUUUCUGAGAGGAAACAGCAGGAGGACACAAGUCUCCGAAAUGCAUCUGUACUGCUGCCUUCCUGGCUGUGGCUUUCAUUUUGUUUGUUGGUUUGGAAGUCAUCUGUACGUGUGUUUGAGCAGCCUCCAAUUCAGUAUUUUCAAAUAGCCCGUGAGAUUAAUAUCCUUGGGUUCUCUGAGAUAUGAUGUGAGGACUUCCAGGUGCUACAACGGAGACAUAGUUCUCCCCGUCAACCAAAAGUGACCUCCUAAGAAGCAGGCCUGUUUCUCCAGUGUUUAACGGCCAAGAUUUUGGAGCUCCCAUGAAAUGUAGAUAACAUUUGUCCUUUCUUCACUGCCAUGCCAAGCAAAUUUUCAAUGAGGAAAAUACUUUAAGUGAUUCAUCUUUAAAGUAAAUUGGAUUUUCCGUCACUAAAAGGCUCCACAAAAUGGAAA